Molecule: long non-coding RNA, 782 nt
Filed under: Mytilus galloprovincialis (Mediterranean mussel)
Lineage: Eukaryota; Metazoa; Mollusca; Bivalvia; Mytilida; Mytilidae
Source: RNAcentral
GCUGCACAUUGUCAAAUACUUUUUUUUACAAAAGUCAGAAAAUUUUUGUGUGUUUUGAGUUUUUUUUUUUUUUUUUAAUUUCUUUUUAAGCAUUUUCUUCUUCUUAUUUUUUUUUCUAAUUUUGGCAAAAUUUUAUUUAUCCCCGGUUGAACAAGGGUGGGGUGUUAUUUACACCGGGGUAGUCAACCAAUCAGAUUGCAGUAUUUUUGCUGCAUAAGAAAUAAUACUUUUAUCACUAAACAGAAGAUUGUUUUGUGGAUUUUUUUUAUCAAUAUCUUGAAUCUUUUAUCACUUUUUGAUACAUAUAAUACAAAAAGUAUCUAUCAAAUUUUAAUAAUAAUAGAUAUAUUUCUUAUAUAAGGUUAAACAAUUUCAGUGAUUUUGUUGGUUGUUGCACCAUUAAAAAGAUAGUUAUAUAACCAUUUUAUGUAACCAUCAAACCUAUGUAGUUUUUAUUUAUAGGAAUUUAGGAGAACUAAGUCCUUUUUACACAAGUAUUUUUGGGACCCUUUAAAGCUUGCUGUUUGGUGUGAGCCUAUGCUCCGUGUUGUAGACAGUACCUUGACAUAUAAUGGUUUACUUUUAUAAACUGUGACUUGGAUGGAGAGCUGCCUCAAAGGCACUCAUACAUUAUAUUCCCAAAUCUAUUCAUACACAAAUUAUUGUCCUGAAACAAGAACAAUGUUUGUUUUUGGUGCCUUAAUCCUUAGCAGUAUGGACAAAUACCCCCCAAAAUCAAUCACAACCUUCCUUUUGUGGUAUGGAAUAUUGUGGUACAAUUU